GAUGAAGAACGUAGCGAAAUGCGAUACUUGGUGUGAAUUGCAGAAUCCCGUGAACCAUCGAGUCUUUGAACGCAAGUUGCGCCCGAAGCCAUUAGGCCGAGGGCACGCCUGCCUGGGCGUCACACGUCGUUGCCCCCCCAUCUACUCCUUCGGGAUUGCGGGGGGCGGAUGAUGGCCUCCCGUGCGCCUCGUCGCGCGGUUGGCAUAAAUGCCAAGUCCUCGGCGACACACGCCACGACAAUCGGUGGUUGCGAAACCUCGGUUGCCCGUCGUGUGCGGUCGUCGCGCAUCGAGGGCUCGAAAAAAUUGCCGGGCUCCGGCUCGGCUUUCAACGCGACCCCAGGUCAGGCGGGGUUACCCGCUGAAUUUAAGCAUAUCAUAAGCGGAGGA
RNAcentral lists this unclassified non-coding RNA (390 nucleotides) under soil metagenome. Its description in RNAcentral is "partial contains 5.8S ribosomal RNA, internal transcribed spacer 2, and large subunit ribosomal RNA". The stretch from base 1 to 122 matches the Rfam family "5.8S ribosomal RNA", at positions 35 to 154 of the family's 154-position model. The record is from RNAcentral.